This 764-nucleotide ribosomal RNA is filed under the name Halobacillus yeomjeoni. RNAcentral describes it as "bacterial SSU rRNA". It matches the Rfam family "Bacterial small subunit ribosomal RNA", at positions 73 to 820 of the family's 1533-position model. The record is from RNAcentral. Lineage: Bacteria; Bacillati; Bacillota; Bacilli; Caryophanales; Bacillaceae.
CGGGGGUGAAGCUCGUGGAACGAGCGGCGGACGGGUGAGUAACACGUGGGCAACCUACCUGUAAGAUCGGAAUAACCCCGGGAAACCGGGGCUAAUGCCGGGUAACACUUUCCUUCGCAUGAAGGAGAGUUAAAAGAUGGCUUCUUGCUAUCACUUACAGAUGGGCCCGCGGCGCAUUAGCUAGUUGGUGAGGUAACGGCUCACCAAGGCGACGAUGCGUAGCCGACCUGAGAGGGUGAUCGGCCACACUGGGACUGAGACACGGCCCAGACUCCUACGGGAGGCAGCAGUAGGGAAUCUUCCGCAAUGGACGAAAGUCUGACGGAGCAACGCCGCGUGAACGAUGAAGGUUUUCGGAUCGUAAAGUUCUGUUGUUAGGGAAGAACAAGUACCGUGCGAAUAGAGCGGUACCUUGACGGUACCUAACGAGGAAGCCCCGGCUAACUACGUGCCAGCAGCCGCGGUAAUACGUAGGGGGCAAGCGUUGUCCGGAAUUAUUGGGCGUAAAGCGCGCGCAGGCGGUUCCUUAAGUCUGAUGUGAAAGCCCACGGCUCAACCGUGGAGGGUCAUUGGAAACUGGGGAACUUGAGGACAGAAGAGGAGAGUGGAAUUCCACGUGUAGCGGUGAAAUGCGUAGAUAUGUGGAGGAACACCAGUGGCGAAGGCGACUCUCUGGUCUGUCUCUGACGCUGAGGUGCGAAAGCGUGGGUAGCAAACAGGAUUAGAUACCCUGGUAGUCCACGCCGUAAACGAUGAGUGCUAGG